Molecule: ribosomal RNA, 486 nt
Filed under: uncultured bacterium
Lineage: Bacteria
Description: partial 16S ribosomal RNA
Rfam family: Bacterial small subunit ribosomal RNA
Source: RNAcentral
AUUGAACGCUGGCGGCAUGCCUUACACAUGCAAGUCGAACGGCAGCACGGGUGCUUGCACCUGGUGGCGAGUGGCGAACGGGUGAGUAAUACAUCGGAACAUGUCCUGUAGUGGGGGAUAGCCCGGCGAAAGCCGGAUUAAUACCGCAUACGAUCUACGGAUGAAAGCGGGGGACCUUCGGGCCUCGCGCUAUAGGGUUGGCCGAUGGCUGAUUAGCUAGUUGGUGGGGUAAAGGCCUACCAAGGCGACGAUCAGUAGCUGGUCUGAGAGGACGACCAGCCACACUGGGACUGAGACACGGCCCAGACUCCUACGGGAGGCAGCAGUGGGGAAUUUUGGACAAUGGGCGAAAGCCUGAUCCAGCAAUGCCGCGUGUGUGAAGAAGGCCUUCGGGUUGUAAAGCACUUUUGUCAGGAAAGAACUCCUUGGCACUAAUACGGUCGCGGGAUGACGGUACCGGAAGAAUAAGCACCGGCUAACUACGUG